This 473-nucleotide ribosomal RNA is filed under the name uncultured bacterium. RNAcentral's name for it is "bacterial SSU rRNA". It matches the Rfam family "Bacterial small subunit ribosomal RNA", at positions 329 to 793 of the family's 1533-position model. The record is from RNAcentral.
CUACGCACUCCUAACGGGAGGCAGCAGUGGGGAAUAUUGCACAAUGGGCGCAAGCCUGAUGCAGCCAUGCCGCGUGUAUGAAGAAGGCCUUCGGGUUGUAAAGUACUUUCAGCAGUGAGGAAGGUGGGUAUGUUAAUAGCAUACUCAUUUGACGUUAGCUGCAGAAGAAGCACCGGCUAACUCCGUGCCAGCAGCCGCGGUAAUACGGAGGGUGCGAGCGUUAAUCGGAAUUACUGGGCGUAAAGCGCAUGCAGGUGGUUUGUUAAGUCAGAUGUGAAAGCCCGGGGCUCAACCUCCGGAAUUGCAUUUGAAACUGGCAAACUAGAGUACUGUAGAGGGGGUAGAAUUUCAGGUGUAGCGGUGAAAUGCGUAGAGAUCUGAAGGAAUACCGGUGGCGAAGGCGGCCCCCUGGACAGAUACUGACACUCAGAUGCGAAAGCGUGGGGAGCAAACAGGAUUAGAUACCCUGGUAG